RNAcentral lists this transfer-messenger RNA (393 nucleotides) under Bacteroidales bacterium. It matches the Rfam family "transfer-messenger RNA". From Rfam's summary of the family: Bacterial tmRNA, also known as 10Sa RNA or SsrA, is named for its dual tRNA and mRNA-like properties. Its role is to liberate the mRNA from a stalled ribosome. Lineage: Bacteria; Pseudomonadati; Bacteroidota; Bacteroidia; Bacteroidales. The record is from RNAcentral.
GGGGGUGGGUUGGUUUUGACAGCAAGGUAAAUGAUUUUGUAAGCACGCAGGCACAGGUAACAAAUGCCUUAAAUAAGGUUGCAAACAAUUAAUUGGCGAAAAUAAUUACGCUUUUGCAGCUUAACCGAAAUAGAGUAGGUUAGCGUAUGGACACAAAGUUGUCCAGCAAGACAUCUCUCCAAAGCCUUCGCUCUGCGGCUAAGGAUUAAGAGGUGCUCGGAUAGCAGAGAUAGUUAUUUAAGAGUUUCGAUUGAAUAACAAAAUUUUAGAAACUAAGCUUUGAAUAGGGUGUUUGUCCUCAGUUCAUUGACGAAAACUAAUGACAAAAUAAGCGUGUAGAAAGCAAAGUUGUUUCUUGUUUGGACCAGGGUUCGAAUCCCUGCACCUCCACAU